GCGAAAACUUUACAAUGCUGGCAACAGCGAUAAGGGAACCUCGAGUGCCAGGUUACCAAUCUGGCUGUCGUGAUGCCUAAAAAGCAUUGCAUAGCAAGGGCCGGGCAAGACCGGUGCCAGCCGCCGCGGUAACACCGGCGGCUCGAGUGGUAACCGUUAUUAUUGGGUCUAAAGGGUCUGUAGCCGGCCGGAUAAGUCUCUUGGGAAAUCUGGCAGCUUAACUGUCAGGCUUUCAGGAGAUACUGUCUGGCUCGAGGCCGGGAGAGGUGAGAGGUACUUCAGGGGUAGGGGUGAAAUCUUGUAAUCCUUGAAGGACCGCCAGUGGCGAAGGCGUCUCACCAGAACGGACCUGACGGCAAGGGACGAAUGCUAGGGGCACGAACU
Molecule: ribosomal RNA, 384 nt
Filed under: uncultured prokaryote
Description: bacterial SSU rRNA
Rfam family: Archaeal small subunit ribosomal RNA
Source: RNAcentral